GGAACCUGGAAGUUUGUUCCCACUGGGUGGCCAAUGCUACAUCAAACUGGACUUCAUUCUUGUCAAAAUGUGGACACAGCAACAAGCUGCCCUCUUGGAAGCAGAAAGCAGCUCUCACCAGACAUCAAAUCUGCCAGCACAUUGAUCUUGGACUUCCCACCCUUCAGAACUACUGUCUGCGAGGGAUGAGCCUGAGGUGUCAGCAUCUUCACAGGUCUUUUGAGCCUGCAUGCACAAAAGGGUCUACUGUCCCUGGAGAUGGAGUCUCCCUGUGUUGCCCAGUCUGGUCUUGAGAGCUUCAGUUUUAAAUAAUAAAUUGUUCUCGUCUUUCUAAAUUUCAAUCAAAACACAGGAUGUAUUUUAAAAGGGAAAAACUGUGAGGUAAAAGAAUAGGGUGAGGGGAGGAAAGAAAUAACUUCAUAGAGAAAAAUUCAAUGAACCCUUGGAAGAAAAUAUAUGGAAGUAUGGUUACUGACUUGGGAAAGAAGAGAAAGGUACAAUGUAACUGCACAUAGAAGCCAGUCCUGAAAAGAAGCAAGCCGGCUGAAGUUAUCUGCAACUCAGAAGCACUUGGUACCACCCAAGGGGAGAUAAGAGAUGAUAUGAUCAUCCUUCCUAGAAAAUCCAAAGCAUUAAUUAAGGAGAUCUCAUCAGAGGUGCCUGAAAAGCACCUCAGCCGAAGGCCUCACAUAGAGAGACCUAAGAAUGAAGGCACCUGGACUAGGAAUGUGAAUAUGUGAAAGAACAUGACCGGCCAGGGGCCCUGAGUUAUUGAAUGCAACCCCCUUCAGACACUGCAACACACAGGCUGUGCACCAAGCCUAGUAUGGGAAGGACAGCUUUUCUUCAUGAGGCCUGCCAGGUAAAGCCAGCUAUGAAACAGGAAGUUGACCUUCACCAGACACUGAACCUACUGGCACCUUGAUCUUGGACUUCCCAGCCUUACAAACUGUAAGAAAUAAAUGUCUGUUGUUCAUAA
Molecule: long non-coding RNA, 979 nt
Organism: Homo sapiens (human)
Lineage: Eukaryota; Metazoa; Chordata; Mammalia; Primates; Hominidae
Product: long intergenic non-protein coding RNA 2345
Source: Ensembl